RNAcentral lists this ribosomal RNA (498 nucleotides) under uncultured bacterium. Its description in RNAcentral is "partial 16S ribosomal RNA". It matches the Rfam family "Bacterial small subunit ribosomal RNA", at positions 28 to 507 of the family's 1533-position model. The record is from RNAcentral.
GACGAACGCUGGCGGCGUGCCUAAUACAUGCAAGUCGAACGAGAGCGACCGGUGCUUGCACUGGUCAAUCUAGUGGCGAACGGGUGAGUAACACGUGGGUAACCUGCCCAUCAGAGGGGGAUAACAUCCGGAAACGGAUGCUAAAACCGCAUAGGUCUUCGAACCGCAUGGUUUGAAGAGGAAAAGAGGCGCAAGCUUCUGCUGAUGGAUGGACCCGCGGUGCAUUAGCUAGUUGGCGAGGUAACGGCUCACCAAGGCCGUGAUGCAUAGCCGACCUGAGAGGGUGAUCGGCCACAUUGGGACUGAGACACGGCCCAAACUCCUACGGGAGGCAGCAGUAGGGAAUCUUCCGCAAUGGACGCAAGUCUGACGGAGCAACGCCGCGUGAGUGAAGAAGGUUUUCGGUUCGUAAAACUCUGUUGUUAGAGAAGAACAAGUGCUAGAGUAACUGUUAGCGCCUUGACGGUAUCUAACCAGAAAGCCACGGCUAACUACGUG